GAUGAACGCUGGCGGCGUGCCUAAUACAUGCAAGUCGAGCGAACGGACGAGAAGCUUGCUUCUCUGAUGUUAGCGGCGGACGGGUGAGUAACACGUGGAUAACCUACCUAUAAGACUGGUAUAACUUCGGGAAACCGGAGCUAAUACCGGAUAAUAUUUUGAACCGCAUGGUUCAAAAGUGAAAGACGGUCUUGCUGUCACUUAUAGAUGGAUCCGGGCUUCAUUAGCUAGUUGGUAGGGUAACGGCUUAUCAAGGCAACGAUGCAUAGCCGACCUGAGGGGGUGAUCGGCCACACUGGAACUGAGACACGGUCCAGACUCCUACGGGAGGCAGCAGUAGGGAAUCUUCCGCAAUGGGCGAAAGCCUGGCGGAGCAACGCCGCGUGAGUGAUGAAGGUCUUCGGAUCGUAAAACUCUGUUAUUAGGGAAGAACAUAUGUGUAAGUAACUGUGCACAUCUUGACGGUACCUAAUCAGAAAGCCACGGCUAACUACGUG
This 497-nucleotide ribosomal RNA is filed under the name uncultured bacterium. Its description in RNAcentral is "partial 16S ribosomal RNA". It matches the Rfam family "Bacterial small subunit ribosomal RNA", at positions 28 to 507 of the family's 1533-position model. The record is from RNAcentral.